AAAACUUUCAACAACGGAUCUCUUGGUUCUGGCAUCGAUGAAGAACGCAGCAAAAUGCGAUAAGUAAUGUGAAUUGCAGAAUUCAGUGAAUCAUCGAAUCUUUGAACGCACAUUGCGCCCGCCAGUAUUCUGGCGGGCAUGCCUGUUCGAGCGU
This 154-nucleotide ribosomal RNA is filed under the name Fusarium sp. 26-2. Its description in RNAcentral is "5.8S ribosomal RNA". It matches the Rfam family "5.8S ribosomal RNA". From Rfam's summary of the family: 5.8S ribosomal RNA (5.8S rRNA) is a component of the large subunit of the eukaryotic ribosome. It is transcribed by RNA polymerase I as part of the 45S precursor that also contains 18S and 28S rRNA. The record is from RNAcentral. Lineage: Eukaryota; Fungi; Ascomycota; Sordariomycetes; Hypocreales; Nectriaceae. RNAcentral also lists the same sequence under 2 other names.